UACGUAGGGUGCGAGCGUUAAUCGGAAUUACUGGGCGUAAAGCGUGCGCAGGCGGUUCGGAAAGAAAGAUGUGAAAUCCCAGAGCUUAACUUUGGAACUGCAUUUUUAACUCCCGAGCUAGAGUGUGUCAGAGGGGGGUAGAAUUCCACGUGUAGCAGUGAAAUGCGUAGAGAUGUGGAGGAAUACCGAUGGCGAAGGCAGCCCCCUGGGAUAACACUGACGCUCAGGCACGAAAGCGUGGGGAGCAAACAGG
This 253-nucleotide ribosomal RNA is filed under the name uncultured bacterium. Its description in RNAcentral is "partial 16S ribosomal RNA". It matches the Rfam family "Bacterial small subunit ribosomal RNA", at positions 524 to 776 of the family's 1533-position model. The record is from RNAcentral.